UCUUUUUCAAUCUUUUCUUUGAGAUGCUUCCUUCUAGCAAUUGCUGAAACCUCACACUGAGCCGCCUCCUCUUGUGGAUCUGUUUCCGUCUUGUACCUCUCCUUUUCCAUCAUCUACAGCUCACACUGGAGAAUUCACUACUGAGAGUUAAUUGUUCUUCCUUCCUUUUCCUUCCUUUCUUGCUCAUUCCUUGCCAUUUGACCUUCCUCUACCUUUUAUUAGGAAGUAAUGUGUUGCCCACCAGUGCGUGGAGUUCAUGGAGGUAGCUGUCAGGAGUUUGCGGUGCGACCUCAAAAACAGGUAAUAGAGAUCAUCAACUGAUGCACCGUUGAAGAUCUACUCACUACCAGCUAGUUGGAAAUGUCCGAGGAGCUGCUUGAAGUUGUCCAUUGGAGAUAAAUUUUUUGAUAGCUUUAAGGAAGAUCACAUUUUCAUAUAGACAUCUAUAUUUUAUAGUAGUGGGACAUGUAUAUGAUCCAUGGGGGUGCUUAUCUAUUUGUAAUUAUUUUGAGUGUUGAUCCAUUUAUGACACCAUGGUUUGUAACUUAAAUAUGGUUGCUUGUUUUUUUGUUUAGGGGUGUGUAAAUCCAAGUCUUAUUAUACUAAAUUUAUUGUUUAAUUUGAA
Molecule: long non-coding RNA, 625 nt
Organism: Solanum dulcamara
Lineage: Eukaryota; Viridiplantae; Streptophyta; Magnoliopsida; Solanales; Solanaceae
Exons: 3
Source: RefSeq, a predicted model, not a curated record